Acinonyx jubatus (cheetah) is the source of this 16507-nucleotide long non-coding RNA. RefSeq lists it as uncharacterized. NCBI's taxonomy places the organism in Eukaryota, Metazoa, Chordata, Mammalia, Carnivora, Felidae. The transcript has 3 exons. The record is from RefSeq and is a predicted model, not a curated record.
GAGUCCCGGCCGCUCCAGCGCACAGUUCCGGAGUGGAGGGAGGAAGUCCCAUCCCGGCUGCCAGGUUCCCCCCUCCUCUCUCCGUUGCGCUUGCGAGGAGCGCCUAGACUCUUCUUCCUCCGCCCCUCCUGGGAGGCAGCUCGGGACCGCAGGACUUGACUCCCCGCCCCUCACUCUGAGAGGGGGAGGAGUGAGGGAAAAAGACAUCUUGUUCUCACAGCUGCAGGUUGCCCAACCGAGGGCAUUUGUCUUUUGGGGAGCAGAGUGCACGCCAGAAAACCCAGGUGUGUUUGGAAUAACAUAGCAUUUAACACAACAAGGAACACUUUUACGGAUAACAAAAAAUAGCAUUAAAAAUUAAAAGCAAUUACUUUCCGAUUUUAAAAAAUUGGCCCACGUUUUCCAUGCUCUCACAAGGGAUCCGACAGAGCUGCUGAAGAGGCAGCAGCGAUAUUGUACGACCCUGAGUCAAGGCAUCAGAUCAAACUCAAUCUGGACGUCCUCACAUGCUGCCAGACCCUGGAAUUGCAGAGAAGAAUGGGAGAUGGGCCCUGCCCUGAUGAACUCACAGUUACCUGCUGUUAGCCACUGUCUGGAAAUAGAUGAUCUUCCUCUGAUCUAUGGACAGAAGGCCAAGGGUAGCCUGAUUCUGUAUCACAACACCAUUAUUCACCUCACUUCAUCUCAUCACAUGAGCAUCUUAUCAUCUCACAUCAUCACAAGAGGAAGAAGCGUGAUACAGUACAAUGAAAUGCUUUGAGAGAGAGACUACAUUCACAUAACUUUUAUUGCAUGGUGUUAUCAUUAGCUAUUAUUAUUAGCUAUUAUUAGCUAUAAUUGUUAAUCUCUUACCGCCUAAUCUAUUAACUAAGCUUAAUAAUAGGUAUAUAUAUAGGAAAAACAUUGUAUAUAUAGGGUUCAGUACUAUUCAUGAUUUCAGGCAUCCACUGAGGUCUGCAGGUUAAGGGGGACUACACCUUAAACUUACACAAUGUUAUAUGUCAAUUAUACUGUAUCUCAUUUUUUUUAAGAUUUUAUUUUUAAGUAACCUCUACACCCAACGUGAGGCUCAUACUCUUAACCCAAGAUCGAGAGUUGCAUGCUCCUGACUGAGCCAGCCAGGAGCCCCAAUUAUAUCUCAAUUUUUUUAAAAGCAAGUCGGAUGCAGAAACUUGAAAGAAAUAAGAGACAGAGAAUAACAGAAUUAGAAUAGAAAUUGACAAAAUUAUCCCCAAAGGCUAUCAAAAGAUGUAUCAAAACAAACAUGUAACUGAGAAAAAUAGGUAAAUCCAAAAGUCAGAUACUGAAAAAUUAAUACAGGCUCUAGAAAAAUUGAUCAACAGAAAGAAAAAGAGGGAAGAUUCAAAAUAGAGCUUCAUAAUGCAAAAAAAUAGAAAUCAUCACAGAUCCUAGAGUUACUGAACAAACAAUACUAAUGUAUUAUUAAUAAUACUUUAAAAAGCUGAGUUCCCAAAUCCCAAGCUUCCCUUGCCAACAGAAGUAGCAUUUCUCUAUAUGAGAAAACUAUCAUUCACUAAUUGGAAGAGCUUUCAAGACUUCAUCUGAGGCCUUUGCCUAUUCUCCUCAAAACCUGCCCACAUGGCACCUCACCAGCUCCAGGGCCCAUAGUAAGAGUAACUCCCAGCAUAGCCCAGGAAGAUGAUUGCACGGUCUCCUGGGGCAGGGAUGGAAAUAGAUUUAUACACCGAGGGAGUUAGAAUAUCUUGCCAAUAUGUAUUGGGAGAAAGCUGACAGUCAUAUAUGGGCAUGGAACAUAAAGUGUUAAACUGAGGCACCUGGGUGGCUCAGUCAGUUAAGCAUCUGACUUCAGCUCAGGUCAGGAUCUCACAGUUUGUGGGUUCAAGCCCCGAGUCGGGCUCUGUGCUGACAGCCUGGACCUGAUUCAGCUUCUGUGUCUCCUUCUCUCUCUGCCCCUCCCCUGCUCAUGCUCUGUCUCUCUCUCUCUCUCUCAAAAAUAAACAUUAAAAAGUUAAAAAAAAAACAAUGAAGUGUUAAACCAAUGGGCCCCUGGGAGGCUCAGGUCAUGAUCUCAUGGUUCAUGAGUUUGAACCCUGCAUCGGGCUCUACACUGACAGUGUGGAGCCUGCUUAGGAUUCUCUUUCUCUCCCUCUCUCUCUGUCCUUUCCCUGCUCCCAUCCAUGCUAUCUCUCUCUUAAUAAAUAAACUUAAAAAAAUUAAAGUGUUAAACCAAGAAGUAUAAAAUAUAAGGUUGGAUUCAGCAGAAUUUAUGAAUAAAUUUUGUACUCAGGAUUCUUGAUAAAAUAUGUCAUAUUCAGCACCUGUGAGUGGCUCAAAGGUUUGAUUCCUUAGUUUAUUGAAGCCUAGAUUUAACAAUGGCCUAUAGUCAAUGAGGCUGAGAUGCCAAAAUUUCCCUGGCAUAUUAUAGAUUGAGAAAAGAGUCUGAAGAUUCUGGAGAUAGGAAUGUUUGAGUGGAUAUGUUAUAUGCAACCUACUUGGCCACCAACCCACAACCAUAUCAUGCAUCUUCAUCAAGACAUUAAAAGAUGUAGGGAAUUUCUUCUACUAAUGGCAGUUAAAGACCAAUCUUCCUGCUGAAAACAAUCAUAAAAGCUGGAUAAAGCAUAAGAACAAAUCUGUUUCAAGUCAUGAAAGAACUGCUAUGGCAGCAAGGACUUGAAGGGAUAUGUACCUGGGAGAGGUGAAACUGACAUAUAAUCAAGUUCUUCCCUUCAAAGUAUGUGCUGAUUCCCAAGUUGCAGCUCAGAGACCAAGAAGCCAAGCAUAUCUUCUAGAAGUUUACAGGCCCAGAGGGACAAAAAUUGGAGUUGGGAUCCUCAAAGUGUUACAACUCCCAGUGUAGACAGGAACCAGAAAAAGACAAGACUUCCCAAAGAUUAGACCUGCCCAGCCCACAAGCAUCUCAAUGCCUAACUAAAAUAGAUCUCCCCCAACCAUAAUUACCUUCCAGGAGCAAAAAUAUAUCCUCCCAACAGAUGAUAACACCAUCCAGAGCCUCAGUUUUUUUCUUUGAUCUUUCAUAUACCAUAUCAGCAUCAAUAUAUUACCAGGCAUAAUAGGAAACAAGACCAUAUGACUAAAAAGAGAAAAAAAUCAAAAUCUAUUAGUAAGAAAGUCACAAAGUAGACAGAUAUUGGAUGGAAUUGCCAGAUGCAGAAUGGGAUUAUAUAUAAAUGAUAAGUUCAAGGAUUGAGAUGAAAAUAUAGAGAAUUUUAGCAAAGAACUAGAAAAAAUAUACAUUUUUUAAAAGAUCUAAUGGAAUCUUAGGAAAAAAACCACAAUACUUGAAAUUAAGAACUCCAUAGAUGGGGGUGCCCGGUGGCUCAGUUGGUUAAGUGUCUGAUUCUUGGUUUUGGCUCAGGUCAUGAUCUCAGGGUUCCUGAACUCAAGACCCACAUCAGGUUCUGUACUGGCAGAGCAGAGCCUACUUGGGAUUCUCUCUCUCUCCCUCUCUCUCUCUCUGCCCUUCCCCCCUGCUCUCUCUUAAAUUAAAAAAAAAAAAAAAACUUUGAAAGAACUCCAGGGGCACCUGGGUGGAUCAAUCGGUUGAGCAUGUGACUUCAGCUCAGGUCAGGAGCUCACGGUUUGUGAGUUCGAGCCCCGCACUGGGCUGUGUGCUGACAGCUCAGAGCCUGGAGCCUGUGUCAGAUUCUGUGUCUCCCUCUCUCUGCCCCUUCCCCGCUCAUGCUCUGUCUCUCUCUGUCUCUCAAAAAUGAUUAAAUGUUAAAAAAAAAAAUUUUUUUAAGAAAGAACUCCAUAGAUGGGUAUAAAAGUAGACUACACAAAAUUAGAACAUUAGUGAAGUAGAGGAUUAAUUAAAAUAGCCAGAUAUUUCUCCCAAGAAGAUAUGUAGAUAGUCAAUAAGCACAUGAAAAAAUACUCUACAUCAUUAGCCAUGAGGGAAAUGCACAUCAAAACUAUGAUGAGAGGCACCUGGGUGGCUCAGUCGGUUGAGCUUCUCUAACUCUUGAUUUCAGCUCAGGUCAUGAUCCCAGGGUCGUGGGAUCGAUCCCUGUAUUGGGCUCUGUACUGAGCAUGGAAUCUGCUUGAGAUUCUCUCUCUCUCCCUCUGCCCCUCUCCCCCACUCAGCCUCUCUCUCUCUCUAAAGUUAAAAAAAAAAAAAACCUAUGGGGCUCCUGGGUGGCUUAGUCAGUUGGGUGUCCAACUUUGGCACAGGUCAUGAUCUCAUGGUUCGUGGGAAUGAGCCCUGCAUCGGGCUCUGUGCUGAUGGCUCGGAGCCUGGGGCCUGCUUUGGAUUCUGUGUCUCCCUCUCUGUCCCUUCCCCACUCACACUCUCUCCCAGCUUGCACUCUCUCUCUCAAAACUAAAUAAACAUUAAAGAAAAAAGGAAAAAAAAAACCCCUACCAUGAGAUACCACACUGCACUCUCUAGGAUGGCUUCAAUUAAAAGACAAGAAAUAGACAAUAAUAAGCAUUGGUGAAAUUAGAACUUCCAUACCUUUCUGAUGAGAAUUUAAAUGGUGUAGUUUCUUUGGAGAAGAGUUUGAAAUGUUCUCAAAGAGUUCAACAUAAAGUUACUAUAUGACCCAGCCAUUCUGUUCCUAGGUAUGUACCCAAGAGAACUGAAAAAUCUGUAUUCACACACACAAAAAAACUUUACAUGAAUGUUCAGGAGCAGCAUUAUUCAUAAUAGUUAAAAAGUGGAAACAUCCAUAUGUCCAUCAUCUGAUGAAUGGGCAAACCAAAUGUGGUAUAUCCAUACCGUGGAAUAUUAUUCGUCCGUAAAAAGGAAUGAAGGAUUGGCACAUGCUACAAUACAACUUGAUUGAAUCUUGAAAGCCACUAUGGUAAAUGGAAGAAUCUAGACACAAAGAGCCAUAUAUUAUAUGAUUCCAUAUGUAUGAAAUACAUAGGCAAAUCUGUAGAGAUAGAAAAUAGGUUAGUGUUUGUCAUGGGCUAGGGGAAAGAGAAGAGUGGGAGAAAUGGAGAGUAACUGCUUAAUGGGCACAGGUUUUCCUUUGGAGUGAUAAACAUGUUUUGGAAAACGCAGUGAUGCUUGCACAACAUUGUGAACAUACUGAAAACCCCAGAAUUGUACACUUUGAAAGGUAACUUGUAGAAAAUGGUGUCCAAAGCAGUACAAAUAAACUCUGGUCCAUAGAGAUACCCCCACUGGAUAUUAACCUAUUUUACAUCUGUUAGCAAAAUCACUUCAAUAUUUCUGACCAAUAUCUUAAUCUGUACCUAUUUAUCUGUUCUUAAGAUUCUCCUUUGAACUAGUCUUAACAUCUUACUGGUUCCCUCAUUAAUUACUGAAUUGAAUAAAACUGUUACUUCAUGUUCAUUUUAUGGCUGCCAUGAGAGUCGUGCUUUUAACUUUUUGAAAAUUAUACUUUAGCAGUAAGAAGAAGGGAGACGAUGCCUAGCAGGAUGCUGAAAUUAUUUCAUUAUAGUAGAAAGAUGGGGAAUGGAGAGAGAAGUUAACCUUCAAAGAUACUUUUGUUCCCUUACAGAGAAUACAAAUACCCUCACUAAAUAUACCCUGUGACCCUCCAAAAAGAUGCCACUUAGUCUAAAAUCUUUGGCAAAGCACAUCUGAAGAAAUAGGCCUGGUCUCCAGGACAGGUCUCUCCCCUGAGAGCACUUGAACCCCAGUGGCCAUCUGCUUUUACUCUGACUGCAGUCUGAGAAAGAACAUGGGGACACAGGCACAGACACAUGCCCUGGGAUGGUGAGUGUUCAGAGAUGAAAGUAUACCUUCAAUUCAAAACUUGAGUAACACUAUUUGCUUGUGGUCAGGGUAAUGGUUAGAGUUAGGAUAGGGUUAGGACAGGGUUAGGUUAGGGUCAGGGUUAGUUUUAUGGUUAGGAUUAGAGACCAGCUGUCAGGUAAUUGGCCAAAGUGUCAUGGGUUUAGUAACACCAAAAGUCUUUACAUUAGAAGUGGAAAACUUCACAUAUGAGUCUUUCCUCAUGAGUUGCCUACACCUUAGGGUGGUAGUGAUCCAGGAUCCUGCCCCGGUACUCCGUGCCCUGACUUUUAUGUUCUGUCCACAUCUGUCCACCUUAUCAGUUGCAUCCUCUCCUGGCCAUCAGUUCCUUCCCAUAAGCUUUUUUUCACACAUGCAAUUUCAAAAUAAUGAAAAGGCAUUUAAAUCGGGAAAUGUAAGGUGCACCUAGGUGGCUCAGUAGGUCCAACUUCAGCUCAGGUCAUGAUGUCGUGGUUUGUGGGUUUGAGCACCAUGUCGGGCUCUGUGCUGACAUGUCAGAGCCUGGAGCUUGCUUCAGAUUCGGUGUCUCCCUGUCUCUCUGCCCCUCCCCUGCCGUGCUCAGUCUCUCAACAAUAAAAUUAAUCUUAAAAAAAAUUUUUUUAAACAGGAAAGGAAAGCUGAAUAUUCUCCUGCUUACACCUGAUGCCAGAAAGAAUUCGUAAGAGAACUCUUUGAUUUCUGUUCACAGUUAAUGUUCUUUAAUUCGUAAUAGAGUUGUCAUUUGUGUUUUCUAUAAGCAUCCAUUAGUUGCCAGUUAGUUACUAAAUGUAAUAAUUUUCAGUCUUUCUUUGAUUUAAUUUCUUUAAUCCUGGAAGCAAUAUGUGUUUUUGACAUUACUGAUUUUCGUUUGAGCCCUGCUUACAGAUUCUGCUACUUGACUUUUGGCCCACAUUUUCAACUUGGUUUCUCCUACUCAUGACUUUGUGUUUCCUCUUAUAACAUGAAUUCUGUGAAUGUAAACCUGUGACCUACGGCAUAGUUUCUUGGUCUAUUAAUGAUAGUCCAUUUGAAUGUAAUUUACGGGAAAAUAUCUUCUUUGUACUCACACAUCCUUGUUAUAGUACCUUUCUUCUAAUGGGCUCAAAACCCUGCUCAAAACCAGUCCCAAAACAAGUUUUAGGAGAUUAGUUAAGUCAAAAAACAUCCAUUGAUCCGGUUCAACUAGCUAGCACUAUUCGAAAUUCCAGGGAUGAAAAGAGGAGUAAAUCCCAGAUCUGAUUUCAGAUCUUAGCAAGGGAAUAUUCCCCCAAAGGAAGAGGAACACUGCAAAAAGACUCUUAUGUCCUAAGCACUGUGCUUGCUGUAUUUCUGAGGUAUCUCGCUUUUCUCACAAUAAAGCUAAAAGAAAAAUAAAAUUAGUCCCAUUUUACAGAUGAGAAAAUUGAGGCCCACAAAAAUUUUAGUAACUUGCCAAUAUCACAUAUCUGAUAGGUAGCAGAACCAGGAUUUGUUGCUAUUCUUUUCUGAAUCCCAAACCAAUGCUUUUUCCAUUAACGCACAAUCUGAGUUGAUUUCAGUAUUGUUCACAGAAGCAGAGUAACAUCACUUUUUUUUCCCUUAACAUUACUUUCCUUGAAGAUUAGAGUCAUCACCCAAAUUACGUGGGCUUUAAGGAGGCAGACCUCCAUUCAAAAUUCUUCUUUCCAUGGGUGCCUGAGCCAGUGGCUCAGUCGGUUAAGCAUCUGAAUCUUGAUUUUGGCUCGGGUCACGAUCGCAUGGUUUGUGAGAUCCAGCCCUGGCUCCAUGCUGACAGGGGAAAGCCUGCUUGAGAUUCUCUCUCUCCCUGUCUCUCUGCCCCUCCCCCACUCAUGCACUCUGUUUCUGUCUCUGUCAAAAUAAAUAAACUUAAAAACAGAAAAGAAAGGUAAUUUAUUAAAAUGGAAGCAAGUCACAGACCAAAUUUUGGAGCAUAUUCAAACAUAUAUUGAACAUUUAUUAGAAAUAAAGCUCAGGGGUGAGGGGCAAUAUGGAGGACCCUUGUUGGGAUGAGCACUGGGUAUUAUAUGUAAGUGAUGAAUCACAAAAUUCUAUAGCUGAAAUUAUUAUUACACUAUAUGUUAACUAACUUGGAUUUAAAUUAAAUACAAAAACUUAGAUUAAAUUAAAUUUUUAAAUUUAAGUUUAAAAAAUUAAUUUUUAAUUAAAUUAAAUUUUCAUUUAAUUAAAGAAAGUCCAUAUAGUCCUACACCCUGUUCUAUAAGCUCUUGAAGUCUCAGAGCUCUGACUACACCUGGCAUUAAAUGUUAACUCAAGACAAAAUCACAAUCAUAUCCCAGAAGUAAUUUUGUGGUUGAUAUCAGGCAAUCAGAAUCCUUGUGUCGGAAAUUGGACAUAGGAAUGUUUAGUUUAAGCCAUACAUACCAUUCUAGAGAGUGAGAGGUGAAGGGCUCACUACAUUUUACUCAACUCACCUUCUCAAACAAAACAAAUGUUGGGGCACCUGGGUGGCUCAGUUGGUUAAGCGUCCAACUUCAGCUCAGGUCAUGAUCCCACCAUUUGUGAGUUUGUGAGUCUCACAUUUGUGAGUCUCACAUCAGGCUCUGUGCUGAUAGCUUCGAAUCCUCUGUCCCACUCUCUCUUUGCCCCUCCCCCAGUCGCUCCUGCUCUUUUUCUCUCAAAAAUACAUAAAAACAUUAAAAAAAAAGAAAUCAAACAAAACAAAUUUCACCGAUAAAAUCACUUUACUUUUCUUUUUUAAAUAAUUUAUUGUCAAGUUAGCUAACAUACAGUGUAUACAGUGUGCUCUUGGCUUUGGGAGUAGAUUCCCAUGAUUUGUUGCUUACAUACAACACCCAGUGCUCAUCCCAACAAGUGCCCUCCUCAAUGCCCAUCACCCAUUUUCCCCUCUCCCCCACCCCCCCCCCCAUCAGCCCUCAAUUUGUUCUCUGUAUUUAAGAGUCUCUUAUGGUUUGCCUCCCUAAAAUCACUUCUUUUUUUUUUUUUAAUUUUUUAAUGUUUAUUUAUUUUUGAGAGAGAGAGAGAGAGACAGAGCAUGAUCAGGGGAGGGGAAGGGAGAGAGGGAGACACAGAAUUCAAAAAAGGCUCCAGGCUUUGAGCUGUGAGCACAGAGCCCGAUGUGGGGCUUGAACCCACAAACAGUGAGAUCAUGACCUGAGCCAAAGUCAGACGCUUAACCAAAUGAGCCACCCAGAUGCCCCUAAAAUCACUUUUCUAAUAUCCCAUUGGGUUGAUUAACAAAUUUUCUGUUUGCUGCUUGGAAAGAAAGACAGCUGGAGUGCGGGCAUUUGAUUAUAUGCUCCCCAACUACCUCUACAAUAUCUAUUCACGUUUAGAACUAAAGUGUCUGAUGCUGGCUCCAGAGUGUGGAUUAAAGCCAACUCAUACAUACAUCUAUGUCACUUUAUAACCCAAUGUAAAGUAUUUUAAAGUAAAUUCCUGCCAGUACCACAACUGUCAUCUGUGCUCCAGGAGUCGUGGUGGCUCUGUGGCUUAGAAUACAGUCAUUAUAAGCACUCUCUUUGAGGAUUUGUGCAGCAGGAAAGUCCUUGGCAUUCCCUUUUGUAAGGACAGUGUACCGAUCCUUCUGUAAUCUAGGGCAGUUCAUCUAACCUCUGCUUGCAUUUUUUCCCAUGCCUGUACUUACAUAAAGAACAUUAACAUGUUUGGAAAGAGUCCAACAAAAUACAGUUAUUGUUCAGCUCUUUAGAAAUCCCCUUCCCAGGGUCUGUGCAGGCUCAAACAGAUCAGGCUCUUCUCCCUGGAGAAACAAUGCACAAAAAUGAGGCCAAAAGAGACAGGAGAACUAGGGAGGAAUAAUUAUUCUUGUAUUUUUAUUCUUAGCUCUUUUUCAAUCUCAAAAAAGAGAUAUAAUCUGAGAAAUCAUAUUAAAUGGCAAUGCUUAUGAGUCUGUACAUGUGCCAAGGAAAAUUACACAAUUAGGAAGUGUACAAAUGAGCCAUGUCCUGUCCCAAAUUCUUUCCCUAUUUUACAACCAAUUUGUUUCAUUUCUUUACCAGAUAGAGAACCUGUAUUAAUAACCCCCACAAAAUAGAUCAUCCUUUAAUUUACCUCAUGAUAAUAUUAAAUCAAAAGAUAAAUUUUGAAACACUUUCUAUUAGUGCUGAAAGAUUGCUGAUCAAUAGAUGAUACAUAAUCUGAAUUCUCUUUCAAUAAUAAGCUUCUUAAAUAGAAGAUUUUGAUAAAUUAAAAGGAUCUUUGUAAAUUAGAAUCUUCCCAAGAGAGAAGUUAUACUAUUUUUUUGGAGGAUCCAGGAUUUAACCUAAAAUGGUUUUUGUUUGUUUGUUUGUUUGUUUUUGCAUAUUCAGCCAUCACCAAUAAGAGUGAAGUACUCUUAUCCUGGUAUGAUUUCUAAUUUUACUCACUAGAAUAUAUUGUGAACCUCCCUUUUUCACUUUUUCACAUAUAUUGACGUUAACAAGGGCUCACUUUUGAAUGAAAGAUAAAAUCUAAGGACCCAGUUCAAAAGAGAUAGCCCAGCAAAAAAGGACCUAUCCUGAGGCACAUCCUCAUGCUAUUUCAGAGUGCCAAUGAAAGAAAAUCCUAAAAUCUUCCAAAGAAAAGAAAGAAAAAAAAAACCAGAUCACAAACAAAAGAUUAGGAAUCAGAACAAUAUGACACUUCUCCACGAUAAUACUGGAAAGUAGAAGACAGUGGAAUAAAACCUUCAAAAUUCUAAGGGAGAAUCGUUUUAAAUUAGGGAUUAUAUACCCAGCCAAACUAUUAAUCAAGUACAAUUUGUUAACCAAGUGAUGACAUUUUCAGAUACUUCAAAAACUUUACUUGCUGAAUAUACAUUCUCAAGAAAUACUGAAGAAUAUGAAAAGAGGGAGGAAAUCAAGGAAAAGGGGAAGAAAUGGGAGCCAGGAAGUAGAGGACUCAACACAGGAGAGUCAAAGGGAGCUCACGCUCCAAGGGUCAAGGUGAGACCCCACACAACAGUCGUAUGUGGUGAAAGCAACCCAACAGCAGUGGAAAGUUUGGUACCUGAGGAAUUAACCUGCUUGAGAACAAGUAGGUUGUGAGGAGCUUGAGAGCUCUGGUGGAGGGUUUGAGAGCAAAUUUGUGUUGAAUACACAGAAAAAUAAACAAAUUUUUUAAAUGAGGAAAUGUUUAAUGCAAGGGGAAUGAAGAUGUACAUGGAGAGAAAUGUAAUCAUACAUAAACAGAACUUGGCUGUGAACAGUAUUAAUUUUUUUAAUGUUUAUUUUUGAGAGAAAGAGAGAGAGAGAGAGAGUGCAAGGGGGAAAGGGGCAGAGAGAGGGGGAGACACAGAAUCUGGAGUAGGCUCCAGGCUCUGACCUGUCAACACAGAGCAUGACACAGGGCUCAAACCCAUGAAUUGAGAGAUCGUGGCCUGAGCCGAAGUUGGACACUUAACUACACUUAACUGGAUUGAGCUACCCAGGAGCCCCUGAACAGCAUUAAUUUAAUCAAAAUAACAUAACCACUGAAUGUGGGUUUUAAUUAUGGUGGAAGAAUGGGCUAUGUAUUGGGGAAAAGUGAAGGGUAGAAAAAUGAAAUUCUCAUCAUUUGUAAAAGGAAAUUAAUUGAUAAUAUCUUCUGUUGAAAAUCAAGAAUUAGUAUAAGCAUUUGGUUUAGAAAUAGGGAAGCAAAUAGCAGAAGAAAGAGCAAAAAGAGUUGAAGAAGUUUGUAGGGAGUGGACAUGAGGGGUGAGGAAGGGUAUGAACAGGAGGCUGUUUUAAGUUUAAAGAAAUAUAUCUUUUUAAAAUUUUAUUCUGUUUUUAUUUUAAUUCAGUAUAGUUAACAUACAGUGUUGUAUUAGUUUCAGGUGUACAAUUUAGUGAUUCAACAAUUUUAUACAUUACUCAGUGCUCAUCAUGAUAAGUAUACUCUUUAAUCCCUAUUACCUAUUUUACCCACACACACCUCCACAUCCCCUCUGGCAACCAACAGUUUGUUCUCUGUAGUUAAGAGUCUGUUCAGAUAACACCAGCAUUCUUCACAGAGCUAGAAUGAACAAUCCUAAAAUUUGUAUGGAACCAGAAAAGACCCCAAAUAGCCAAAGCAAUCCUGAAAAAUAAAACCAAAGCUGGAGGCAUCACAAUUCUGGACUUCAAGAUGUGUUACAAAGCUGUAGUAAUCAAAACAGUAUGGUACUAGCACAAAAACAGACACAUAGAUCAAUGGAACAGAAUGGAGAACCCAGAAAUGGACCCACAAACAUAUGGCCAAAUAAUAUUUGACAAAGCAGUAAAGAAUAUCCAAUGGAAUAAAGACAGUCUUUUUAGCAAAUGGUGUUGGGAAAACUGGACAGCAACAUGCAGAAGAAUGAAUCUGGACCACUUUCUUACACCAUACACAAAAAAACCCUCAAAAUGGAUGAAAGACCUAAAUGUAAGACAGGAAGCCAUCAAAAUCCUCGAGGAGAAAGCAGGCAAAAACCUCUCUGACCUCGGCCACAGCAACCUCUUACUCAACAUAACUGUGAAGGCAAGGAAAACAAAAGUAAAAAUGAACUAUUAGGACCUCAUCAAGAUAAAAAGCUUCUGCACAGCAAAGGAAACAGCAAAACUAAAAGGCAACCAAUGGAAUGGGAGAAGAUAUUUGAAAAUGACAUAUCAGAUAAAGGGUUAGUAUUCAAAAUCUAUAAAGAACUUAUCAAACACAACACCCCAAAAAACAAAUAAUCCAGUGAAGAAAUGGGCAGAAGACAUGAAUAGAUAUUUUCCAAAGACAUCCAGAUGGGUAACAGGAAUAUGAAAAAAUGCUCAACAUCACUCAUCAUCAGGGAAAUACAAAUCAAAAUCACAAUGAGAUACCACCUCACACCUAUCAGAAUGGCUAAAAUUAACAACUCAGGCAACAACACAUAUUGGCAAGGAUGUGGAGAAAGGGGAUCUCUUUUGCAUUACUGUUGAAAAUGCAAACUGGUGCAGCCACUCUGGAAAACAGUAUGGAGGUUCCUCAAAAAAUUAAAAAUAAAGUUACCCUACAACCUGGCAAUUGCACUACUAGGCAUUUAUCCAAAGGAUACAGGUGUGCUGUUUCAAAGGGACACUUGCACCCCAAUGUUUAUAGCAGUACUAUCAACAAUAGCCAAAGUAUGGAAAGAGCCCAAAUGUCCAUUGACAGAUGAAUGGAUAAAGAAGAUGUGGUAUAUAUAUACAAUGGAAUAUUACUUGGCAAUCAAAAAGAAUGAAAUCUUGCCAGUUGCAACUAUGUGGAUGGAACUAUAGAAUAUUAGCUAAGCAAAAUUAGAGAAAGACGAGUAUCAUAUGACUUCACUCAUACGAGGACUUUAAGAUACAAAACAGAUGAAUAUAAGGGAAAGGAAGCAAGAAGAAUAUAAAAACAGGGAGGGGGACAAAACAGAAGAGACUCUUAAAUACAGAGAACAAACAGGGUUGCUGGAGGGGUUGUGGGUAGGUGGAUGGGCUAAAUGGGCAAGGGGCAUUAAGGAGAACACCUGGGAUGUCCUCCCAAUCCUAACACUUGGGAUGAUCAUUGGGUGUUAAAUGUAGGGAAUGAAUCACUGGAUUCUACUCCUGAAAUCAUUAUUGUACUAUAUGCUAACUAACUUAGAUGGAAAUUAAAGAAAAAAUUUUUUUUAAUUUUGAAAAGAAUCUAUUCCUUGGUUUGUCUCUUUUUUUUCCUUUGUUCAUUUGUUUUGUUUCUUAAAUUCCACAUAUGAGUGAAAUCAUAUGGUAUUUGUGUUUCUCUGACUUAUUUUCACUUAGCAUUAUACUUUCUAGCUCUAUCAUGUUGUUGUAAAUGGCAAGAUUUCAUUCUUUUUUAGGGCUGAGUAAUAUUCCACUAUGUGUAUAUAUACAUGUAUAUACACAUACAUACACACCACAUCUUUAUUCAUUCAUCUAUUGAUGGAUACUUGGGCUUUUUCCAUAAUUUGGCUAUUAUAAAUGAUCCUGCAAUAAACAUAGGGGUGCAUGUAUCAUUUCAAAUUAGUGUUUUUAUAUUCUUUGGGUAAAUACCCAGUAGGGGGGUGUAGGACAGUAGUGUUUUUAUAUUCUUUGGGUAAAUACUCAGUGGGGGGAGGUGUUAAGUUGUAGAAGUUCUUUAUAUAUUUUGGAUACUAACCGUUUAUUGAAUAUUUCAUUUGCAAAUAUCUUCUCCCAUUCAGUAGAUUGUCUUUAAUUUUGUUGAUUGUUUCCUUCAUUGUGAAGGACUAUUUUGAUAUAGUCCCAAUAGCUUAUUUUUCCUUUUAUUUUCUUUGCCUUAGGAGUCAGAUCUAGAAAAAUGUUGCUAUGACGCAUGUCAGAGAAAUUGCUGCCUGUGCUUUCUUCUAAGAUUUUUACAGUUUCAGGUCUCAUAUUUAGGUCUGAGAAAGAUGUAUCUUGUAAAAAUAUGUACAUUGAUAAGUAUACUUUUGUUUUUCAUUUUGAAGAGUGAGCAGAAAUUUGAAAAAUGAGUAGAAUGAGUUUAGAAAACUCACAUUUAAAGAUUAAAAUGAUUAAUUGAAUUCCAGAUGGCUGAGGCCUAUGAUUUCCGCUCUUUACCUGUAAGAAAACCAAUGGCCAACUUUAAAAUAUCUAUUUUGGUUGCUGGGGACAUGGAAUGAUAAGUAACAAAAAUUCACAGAUUCUUCCCCAUCACCUAAUACCUACAAGGAAAGGUUUGGGCCUCUAGUAGCACUAACUCCCAUUUCUCAGUUUGGUAUACCCAUAAAUCCCCACUCUAAGGAACUGAGCAUUGUUUUAGUUGCUUGGAAAUGAGCAAAAGAGAUUACCAGGUGUUCCUUAACAUCAGCAUAUGUUUUACAAGUCUAUAGGGACAAAGGUUAACUUGUAGAUUUUUGUCGAGUUUAAUGCAAAUUAAUUUCCAUCCCAUGGAAAAGAUAACCUCAAAGGUUAGAGCUUAUGGCCAUGUUGGACAUUAUCCAGUUCUGUAUAAACAGUGAUGUAUUAAAUUGGUGAUGUAUACCUAAGUUUCGCAAAUGCUUAUAGUAUCUUAUUAGUCACAGCAUCUUAAUUGUUCCCUCAUUAAUUAAUGAGUUGCAUAAAUCUUUGACAUUUUCAUUGUAUAUUUGCAUUACAGUAUGAUGUUACCUUUAUAAAGACUGUAUUUUAGCAAAGACUAAAAUGACAUCUAUAUAAACAUUUAAAACUCCUAUUCUGGGGCACCUGGGUGGCUCAGUUGGUUAAGCGUACAAUUCUUGAUUUUGGCUUAGGUCAUGAUGUUGCGAUUUGUGAGUUCAAGCCCCACAUCGGACUCUGCAUUGACAGUGUGGAGCCUGCUUGGGAUUCUCUCUCUCUUUCUCUGCCCCUCCCCCCCAUCAAAAUAAAUAAAUAAACUUAAAAAAAUUAAAACUCCUAUUCCUAGAAUUAGCCUUUAAAACACAUUGUUAUAGAAAUUAACACAUUUUUUUUAACCAAAGUAAUGUAGAAGAAACUGGGUUUUAUUCUCUUUCCUGUUCUGGUUGGAGGUACCUGUUGGACUUAGUCAAUCAAGCAAAAUGUUUUCAGGGAGACUCUUCCAGGCUCAUAGGAUGGACCCAGGCCUCACAGACAUUACAAAAUAAAUAGGAACAAGACCAAAUCUUAACAAUGAAGCUUGGAGGCAGAAGAAGAUUCCCCUUAGAGUCUAGAAGAAGACAAGAUCAUGCUCUAGGUUAAUGGGAAGGCUUCUUUCCCAAGCAGGUGUCAGCUGGAGUUGGGGCUUCAAAGGUGGAACAAGGGAAAAAAAGGAGGGCACACAGUGAGCACAGACUAGGAGGUUUAGCUGGGGCAGGCCUGUGGGAAGCUGGACAGCUUGAGAGCAGGAAUAAAGAGACUGCUACUCUCUUGGGGUGCCUGGAUGGCUCUGUUGGUUAAGCGUCUGACUUCAGCUCAGGUCAUGAUCUCACAGUCUGUGAGAUCUCACGAGCCCCGUGUCGGGCUCUGUGCUGACAGCUCAGAGCCUGGAGCCUGCUUCAGAUUCUGUGUCUCCCUCCUUUCUGCCCUUCCCCUGCUCAUACUCUGUCUCUCUCUGUCUCAAAAAUAAAUAAAAAUAUAUAUAUAAAAAAAAGAGACUGCUACUCUCUCCAUCCUGUUCAUUUGACAACAAUGUAUUACCUCACUGCAUUCAUUCAUGAUCUCUGUAUGUAUCUUAGUCCUUUUAGCCUGCAGUAACAAGAAUACCUACCACAGGCUGAAUGGCUUAUAAACAACAGAGAUUUAUUUCACAUAGUCUGUAGGCUGGGAAGUCCAUGAUUAAGGUGCUGGAAGAUUGGGUGUUUAGUUCACAGACAGCAAUCUUUCACUGGGUCCUCACUUGGCAGAAAGGGCGAGGGAGUUUUCCUGGGCCUCUUAUACUGGCACCCAUCCUAUAUGAAGCUCAUGACCUAAUCACCUCCCAAAGUCCCCACCACCUAAUACAACAUCACAUUGGGGAUUAGGUUUUAACAUAUGCAUUUCAGGGGUGAGGGGAACAAAAACAUUCAAUCUAUAGCAUUGUGUUUUUAAAUUAGUUGUAAGUUCUUUUGCAUUGCUUUAAUUAUACCUAUGAGAAAAACAAAAACAAAAACAAAAAAAACGUAUUCAUGUAGUAUAUUACUGUGCUAGGGUUGCCAAAACAAGAUAACACAGACUUGUAUCUUAAACAGAAAUUUUUUUCUCACAGUUCAGGAGGCUAGAAGUCCAAGGUCAAGGUGCUGAGGAGGUUGGUUUCUGAUGAGGUUUCUCUCUGAUUUGCAGAUGGCCACCUUCCCACUGUGUCCUCACAUGACCUUUCUUCACACCUCCCUGGUGUCUCUUCCUCUUCUGAUAAGGAUGCCAAUCGUAUUGGGUUUGGGCCCAGCCAUAUGGCAUCAUUUAACCUUAAUUACCUCUUUAAAAGUCC